Molecule: non-coding RNA, 1272 nt
Organism: Ciona intestinalis (vase tunicate)
Lineage: Eukaryota; Metazoa; Chordata; Ascidiacea; Phlebobranchia; Cionidae
Source: RefSeq, a predicted model, not a curated record
AUCGGGCCAAUAUCGGUGGUGUAAUAAUAUAAUGUUUGAACAUUUUCGCUGAAGUCUAAAUGUGUUGCCUGCGUACCUUCAUUACUUGAUUUUUACGCUUCCUUUGACUGGCAUUAUGACGUAUCUUGUAUACAAAUGGCAAUGGCAUAUGAAGUUGCUGCUAGUCGGGUCAAGUCGGUUCGAUUUUUCAAAUUGUUUCUCGUUUCAUCAUAGAUACCUUAUGGAUAGUCAUCUCUUUAAUUGUUUUAAUAUGACGUCAUAUUUUUGUUUCGGUUCAGUGACUCCGUUUGUUUGUGAACACAAAUUUGAGUUAUACGCGCUGUAUCUGUAUUGUUAUAUUUUUUGUUAAAAUCUAGAAUGGCUCCGUCAAAUUGCUCCGUUUCUGGCUGCCUCAAUAGUUACUUAAAAUCUAAAAGUAGUGGAAAUGAUAGUGUCUCCUUAUUUACGGUUUGACGUCCGGAUCUGGGAAAAACUGCAGAUGAAUCGAGAGUCGCUGACAAAAUUUUGUUGUCAGUUCGAGAUGUGAAAAAAGGAGAGAUAUUAUAAAACAAAUGUUACUAAAAGAGACGUAAGUUUGCUUUUUUCGUUUACUUUUUAUUUAACUGUAUCUAUUUUUUCGUUUACUUUUUAUUUAACUGUAUCUAUUAAAAAGUUGAAUUUUAGCGCAGCUAUAUGUGAGAGGCACUUACCCAGGAAAGAACCAGCCAAAACAGCUGAAGCUUGGUGCUAAACCAUAAAAAAAUUUGCUAAAGUCCACAGUUCGCAGUCACUCACCCAGGAACGAACCAGCCAUUAGACAAGUAGUUUUAAAAAUCAGGCAUCAGUACAUACAGGAUUUGCAGAAGUCACAAAUGAAAUUGUCAUAGAACCAUUAAAGGUAGUUUUCCAAAUGUAAUUAAAUUUAAAUUGUCUUGGCUACUCACUCAGCGUGUUAUUAUUUUUUUUUGUCCGGCGCCGUGCCGCAGGCGCUUUAUACCUGGCUGUCUAAGUUUAUAGCCGAAUUCAAAGAACCAGAUUUUUUGUUGCCCCGUAUCAGGUUAGUUACUGUUAGUCUGUUACUGAUGAUUUAUAUGUUUCAUAUGGUCUGAAUAAAGAAGAUGCUUAAAACAUUAAGAAUAUUUCUAUAUAAUGUACUUUCAGAAUUGAAUUUAAUGCUGCAGUAUCCCCACUAGCCCUCUGUGGAUGGACUGUCCCUACAACUAAGUUUAGUAUUGGAAAUGGACAAUAUGACACACUGUGCAGCUUACUCCGUGAAGCAGAAAAACUUAUUCU